CGAACGGGUGAGUAAUGCGUGACCAACCUGCCCCAUGCUCCAGAAUAGCUCUUGGAAACGGGUGGUAAUGCUGGAUGCUCAACUUGACGCAUGUCUUGUUGGGAAAGUGUUUAGUGGCAUGGGAUGGGGUCGCGUCCUAUCAGCUUGUAGGCGGGGUAAUGGCCCACCUAGGCUUCGACGGGUAGCCGGCCUGAGAGGGCGGACGGCCACAUUGGGACUGAGAUACGGCCCAGACUCCUACGGGAGGCAGCAGCG
RNAcentral lists this ribosomal RNA (255 nucleotides) under uncultured Gardnerella sp. RNAcentral's name for it is "partial 16S ribosomal RNA". It matches the Rfam family "Bacterial small subunit ribosomal RNA", at positions 99 to 356 of the family's 1533-position model. Lineage: Bacteria; Bacillati; Actinomycetota; Actinomycetes; Bifidobacteriales; Bifidobacteriaceae. The record is from RNAcentral.